UAUAAACUUCAUCUCCUGUGUUGUCAAUUUUUUCUUACACCUCCGAAAACAAUGGCUUUUCACUCAACCUUUCAUUGAGCUUUUCCACACCACUACUCAAAGUUGUGUCAAGAAAACGUAAUAAAGGAGCAAGACGCUCA
Molecule: long non-coding RNA, 140 nt
Organism: Poecilia latipinna (sailfin molly)
Lineage: Eukaryota; Metazoa; Chordata; Actinopteri; Cyprinodontiformes; Poeciliidae
Exons: 2
Source: RefSeq, a predicted model, not a curated record